Molecule: non-coding RNA, 454 nt
Organism: Maylandia zebra (zebra mbuna)
Lineage: Eukaryota; Metazoa; Chordata; Actinopteri; Cichliformes; Cichlidae
Source: RefSeq, a predicted model, not a curated record
UUGGGCACCUGCAGGUCUCAGACAGCGGCUCCUCCUCCUUUAGGCGGAGUCCGGUUGCCCCUCCCUGGCUGACCACCUGUGAGCAAUCGUGCCAGCGGUAUAUCAGACCUGCGCUCUCAACCACUCAUCGCCUGAGUAUCUGCUAUUCCCAUCGAUAGCACCCGGAGUGGAGAUCUUGUUCCCCUCGCUCCCGUCCUCCUGGACCUGGGCCGCCAGCUGCUUACACAACGUGGCCUGCCGGCCCACCGCUCACCUGCCUGCCUCCCCACGCCUCGACCGCUUCCGGGUUUUCCGCUCCACCUGUCCCCUCCAUCUGAAACCAAUGCCCCCGGCCCCUACCUAGUCCUGUUUCUACCUCCCCGCUGUCCCCGCUGCUCAGCCGUCUCCUAGAGGUGUCUAGGUCGCCCUCAUUAUCACCGACGAGUCCUACGCGCCACUAGUGUGGUGGCGUCGC